This 493-nucleotide ribosomal RNA is filed under the name uncultured bacterium. Its description in RNAcentral is "partial 16S ribosomal RNA". It matches the Rfam family "Bacterial small subunit ribosomal RNA", at positions 28 to 507 of the family's 1533-position model. The record is from RNAcentral.
GACGAACGCUGGCGGCGUGCUUAACACAUGCAAGUCGAACGGAAAGGCCUGCUUUCCCUUGUGGUUUGCGGGUCCUGGAGUGGCGAACGGGUGAGUAACACGUGAGUGAUCUGCCCCCAACUUGGGUAUAAGCCUGGGAAACUGGGUCUAAUUCCCGAUAGGCCUGCAGGGUGGUGCCUGUGGUGGAAAACGAUUUUUUAGUGGUUGGGGUUGAGCUGGCGGCCUAUCAGCUGGUGGGUGGGGUAAUGGCCUACCAAGGCGGCGCCGGGUAGCCGGCCUGGGGGGGUGGACGGCCACAUUGGGACUGAGAUACGGCCCAGACUCCUACGGGAGGCAGCAGUGGGGAAUAUUGCACAAUGGGCGGAAGCCUGAGGCAGCGACGCCGCGUGGGGAUGACGGCCUUCGGGUUGUAAACUCCUUUCGACCGCGAGGAAGCCACCUGGUUGGAAGGGUGGUGACGGUAGUGGUAGAAGAAGCACCGGCUAACUACGUG